GACGAACGCUGGCGGCGUGCCUAAUACAUGCAAGUAGAACGCUGAAGGAGGAGCUUGCUCUUCUGGAUGAGUUGCGAACGGGUGAGUAACGCGUAGGUAACCUGCCUGGUAGCGGGGGAUAACUAUUGGAAACGAUAGCUAAUACCGCAUAAGAGUAGAUGUUGCAUGACAUUUACUUAAAAGGUGCAAUUGCAUCACUACCAGAUGGACCUGCGUUGUAUUAGCUAGUUGGUGGGGUAACGGCUUAACAAGGCGACGAUACAUAGCCGACCUGAGAGGGGGAUCGGCAAAAAUGGGAGUGAGACACGGCCCAGACGCCUACGGGAGGCAGCAGUAGGGAAUCUUCGGCAAUGGACGGAAGUCUGACCGAGCAACGCCGCGUGAGUGAAGAAGGGUUUCGGAUCGUAAAGCUCUGUUGUAAGAGAAGAACGAGUGUGAGAGUGGAAAGUUCACACUGUGACGGUAUCUUACCAGAAAGGGACGGCUAACUACGUG
Molecule: ribosomal RNA, 495 nt
Filed under: uncultured bacterium
Lineage: Bacteria
Description: partial 16S ribosomal RNA
Rfam family: Bacterial small subunit ribosomal RNA
Source: RNAcentral